This is a non-coding RNA of Pelobates cultripes (western spadefoot toad), 201 nucleotides long. The record is from the annotation of a GenBank genome assembly. NCBI's taxonomy places the organism in Eukaryota, Metazoa, Chordata, Amphibia, Anura, Pelobatidae.
AUUAAGACUCACUGAUUACAUUAACCAUUUUUCUAGGAGAAACGCACAUUGUCCUGUUCUAAGUCAGUAAACCAUCCAAAGCAAUGGUAAUUGUUGCAAUUUUAAUGGGAACUUCGUUAAAGAAUGAAAAUUUAAAGUCGAAAACGAGUAAGACCCAGUUCUUUUCAUUUCACUUUAGAAAAUGCUAAUCGGUAAUUCAAC